UUAAUGUCCAGGAGAGUGGCCCUCUGCAUGGAGGGUUGACUAGAGAUUCAUCGGUAUGGGAUGAGCUUGCGUCCGAUUAGCUAAUUGGCGGGGCAACGGCCCACCAAGGCGACGAUCGGUAGCCGGCCUGAGAGGGUGAUCGGCCACAUUGGGGCUGAGAUACGGCCCAGACUCCUACGGGAGGCAGCAGUAGGGAAUAUUGCACAAUGGGGGAAACCCUGAUGCAGCAACGCCACGUGUGGGAAGAAGCAUUUCGGUGUGUAAACCACUGUCGUGAGGGAAUAAGGCCCGCCUUCGGACGGGAUUGAAUGUACCUCGAAAGGAAGCACCGGCAAACUUCGUGCCAGCAGCCGCGGUAAUACGAGGGGUGCAAGCGUUGUUCGGAAUUACUGGGCGUAAAGGGAGCGUAGGCGGAGAUUCAAGCGGAUUGUACAAUCCCGGGGCCCAACCCCGGACCUGCAGUCCGAACUGGACCUCUUGGAUAGUUCAGGGGCAGGCGGAAUUCCUGGUGUAGCGGUGGAAUGCGUAGAGAUCAGGAAGAACACCGAUGGCGAAGGCAGCCUGCUGGGGACUUUAUCGACGCUGAGGCUCGAAAGUGCGGGUAGCAAACAGGAUUAGAUACCCUGGUAGUCCGCACCGUAAACAAUGCAUACUGGGUGUCCGGGGGUUCCCCCGGGUACCGUAGCCAACGCGUUAAGUAUGCCGCCUGGGGAGUACGUACGCAAGUAUGAAACUCAAAGGAAUUGACGGGGGCCCGCACAAGCGGUGGAGCAUGUGG
RNAcentral lists this ribosomal RNA (778 nucleotides) under uncultured Fibrobacter sp. RNAcentral describes it as "bacterial SSU rRNA". It matches the Rfam family "Bacterial small subunit ribosomal RNA", at positions 163 to 944 of the family's 1533-position model. Lineage: Bacteria; Pseudomonadati; Fibrobacterota; Fibrobacteria; Fibrobacterales; Fibrobacteraceae. The record is from RNAcentral.